AUGAAUCGAUGAAGUCAUUAGAGAAUGAGAUUCUAGGACCAUUCAUUGAAGAAAAUAACUUGUGGUGGUCAGUGGUGUUAUUUGUGUUGUUGUACAUAUUUUUGUAAGCAUGCCAUGAAUGAAGAGGAGAAGUAUGAGACCAUCAUAUUGGUACUAAUCUGAGGUGGUAAUGCAAAAUAUGACCCCAACCACCCUGACCAUAGGGGACCCUCUUUCUCUGUUACUUACCCACCAGCAGAUGUUUGUAUUUAUAUCAUCACCAGUAGAGGCCCUGCGAUCUUGGAGUGACAACAACCAAGGGGUAAGGGGAGCUUUUUCUUUACAAAAUUGGUCGCUUGGUCGAAACUAGUUAUAUUGCUAGUUAAUAAGUAUUUAAAAUAUAGUGCUUUUUUUGUUUCAAUUUAUGUAAAUGUAUUUGAUUGGGUAUAGAAUUUAGGAAAAAAUAAAGAUUUUUUGAAUUUGUUGUUAUAAGCAAGUCAAAAAUGAGUUCAGAGUAUUGCAUCGUUAUAAAAGUUUUCAUUAAGGAUAAAAUUGGAUGUUUAAGCUAAAUUAUUUUCAAAUUUAGAAAGGGGUUAUUCUUUUUUUAAAGAAUUGCAAAAAGAAAAUGCACAUGACUUCACAUCAUAAUAAAAAGUAACCUACAUGUUUAAGUUUUACAUGACCUAACCCAUAUUGUGCAUAUUUUGAAAGCACUUGCAAAUUCAAAAAUUGUGUUUUUACAAUCAUUGCUUCUAAAAGUUAUGGAGUUAAAUCUUUGUUCUCACAACCAUUGCUUUUACUCUCUCUUAUUCUCACAUCUUCAGCAUAUGCUUCAAGAGGC
RNAcentral lists this long non-coding RNA (820 nucleotides) under Nicotiana benthamiana. RNAcentral describes it as "long non-coding RNA (NBEN_LNC024633)". Lineage: Eukaryota; Viridiplantae; Streptophyta; Magnoliopsida; Solanales; Solanaceae. The record is from RNAcentral.